CAGCAGCCGCGGUAAUACGUAGGUCCCGAGCGUUGUCCGGAUUUAUUGGGCGUAAAGCGAGCGCAGGCGGUUAGAUAAGUCUGAAGUUAAAGGCUGUGGCUUAACCAUAGUACGCUUUGGAAACUGUUUAACUUGAGUGCAGAAGGGGAGAGUGGAAUUCCAUGUGUAGCGGUGAAAUGCGUAGAUAUAUGGAGGAACACCGGUGGCGAAAGCGGCUCUCUGGUCUGUAACUGACGCUGAGGCUCGAAAGCGUGGGGAGCGAACAGGAUUAGAUACCCGCGUAGUCCCUGUCUCUUAUACC
This 301-nucleotide ribosomal RNA is filed under the name uncultured bacterium. Its description in RNAcentral is "partial 16S ribosomal RNA". It matches the Rfam family "Bacterial small subunit ribosomal RNA", at positions 509 to 808 of the family's 1533-position model. The record is from RNAcentral.